Long non-coding RNA from Mauremys reevesii (Reeves's turtle), 151 nucleotides. RefSeq lists it as uncharacterized. The transcript has 3 exons. The record is from RefSeq and is a predicted model, not a curated record. NCBI's taxonomy places the organism in Eukaryota, Metazoa, Chordata, Testudines, Geoemydidae.
AUUUUGGAAACCUACCUACAGUUCUUAAUGUGUUCUGAAGAAGAAACAUGAAGGUAUCUUCAGACACAGAGGAUUCCAACUCAUGCCAUGUGUCAGCAAGACGGAACUGGAGAGGAGGAAGAAACUGCAUUCCAGAAUUAACGAAUGACAG